Molecule: ribosomal RNA, 496 nt
Filed under: uncultured bacterium
Lineage: Bacteria
Description: partial 16S ribosomal RNA
Rfam family: Bacterial small subunit ribosomal RNA
Source: RNAcentral
GAUGAACGCUGGCGGCGUGCCUAAUACAUGCAAGUCGAGCGAACGGACGAGAAGCUUGCUUCUCUGAUGUUAGCGGCGGACGGGUGAGUAACACGUGGAUAACCUACCUAUAAGACUGGGAUAACUUCGGGAAACCGGAGCUAAUACCGGAUGAUAUUUUGAACCGCAUGGUUCAAAAGUGAAAGACGGUCUUGCUGUCACUUAUAGAUGGAUCCGCGCUGCAUUAGCUAGUUGGUAAGGUAACGGCUUACCAAGGCAACGAUGCAUAGCCGACCUGAGAGGGGGAUCGGCCACACUGGAACUGAGAACCGGCCCAGACUCCUACGGGAGGCAGCAGUAGGGAAUCUUCCGCAAGGGGCGAAAGCCUGAGGGAGCAACGCCGGGUGAGUGAUGAAGGUCUUCGGAUCGUAAAACUCUUUUAUUAGGGAAAAACAUAUGUGUAAGUAACUGUGCCACUCUUGACGGUACCUAAUCAGAAAGCCACGGCCAACUACGU